GUAGGUGAACCUGCGGAGGGAUCAUUACAGAGAACAUCGCCCGCAAGGGUGACUCUCCAACCCUAUGUUAAUUAUACCUUUGUUGCUUUGGCGAGCCGCCUCGGCCACCGGCUCACGCUGGUGAGCGCUCGCCAGAGGACCCUAAACUCUGUUUAUACAUGUCGUCUGAGUACUAUAUAAUAGUUAAAACUUUCAACAACGGAUCUCUUGGUUCUG
This 216-nucleotide unclassified non-coding RNA is filed under the name rhizosphere metagenome. Its description in RNAcentral is "partial ribosomal RNA internal transcribed spacer region". The record is from RNAcentral.